GGGAGCCAGUUUGCUCCCAUAUGUGCUAUUUCUCUCUCCCUUCCCCUAGUUCUUUACAGAAAGCUCGCUGGCAUCCGGCCCAAGCUGCUGGGCAGGAAGGGUUCCUCCUUGCCCUGUGUCGCUGCCUGGGGCUCGGUUCUUGUGGCUUAAGUUUCCAAAUGAACCCUACAGCGAAGAAACCUAUUGACAAACGUGUUGGGUUUUACUGAGGAGGCUCUUUUGAGCCUGGAUUAGCCGAGCUCAGGAGCUCCAGGCAUGCGUGAGAGAACGGCCUCCAUGGCCAGCUCAGCUCUCGGGCCUGUGGGGUGGCAUCUUGAUGACAGGGGACUUUAAUUGCUUUCUGCUUUGCUGAUACAAGCUAUUGGCCAUUAUGGGGCCGAGGUUCUGCUUUACAUCGCAGGCACAAAGCAUUUUGAUUAUUCUACAGUUGUUUUGGGGUGGGGGGGGGUGUGUGUUUCAUUUUUGUAACUUAUUCCUGUGUCUUACUCUACAUUUCCUCACAGGGUUUCUCAGGUGGGACGGUAUCUUUGAUGCUCAGAUGCUGUCGUGAUGCUGUGCUCACACAGCUUCCUGUGCCUGCUGAAAUCCUGAAUUGCUGCGUUUUGAGCUUGGCAACUCCUGAGGAAGCUGCAUUUGUGCUGGAAUAGCCACUUCCACUGAUGCAGUUCGAACCAGGGAAGCCAAUGUGUAUUUUGCAGCUUAGCAAUUACACACUUUCAAAUGCACAGCUUGGCCUUUCUGGCUGACAUUAAGAGCUCUUGAGCAUUUUAUUGCUGCUUGCUCUGUGUUCUGCCUGGGAGCUGUAGGUGCUUUAAUGCUGCAGUGACAACCUGCAUCCAUUCGUGUGUAUUAGGAAAACUAUAAGCCAGUUCACAGAGUCAUUGGGAAGUCUCCAGCUCCUCAACCUUCAUCAAAAGCACCUCCUAAAGAAUGAUUUGUUUUCAAAGCUCAAGUGCUCGCUUCUGCCCCCAAUAAAUACUUGCUUUCAAUGCUGGGGAGAGGAAAUGGGGUAGAAGAGUGGUGGGUCCAGACAGAGGUGGUUUUGUUCUUUGCUCAUCACGAACAAGGUGAUCUCGGCUGAGGAGCAAAUGGUCCUGCCCGUUGUCACUGUGGCUGCUGGCACCUCUCCUGAGUCGAAAGCUCGACUUUGGCUUCAGUAGCUGUGCGUUUACAUGGCCUUUCCAAGGCUCUCUCCCCAAGAAUGUUGUAUUUGAAUGGCAAAACUGUAAUUUUCAAGUCUCAGCAGACUCGAUCCCAUCUCGGUCUGUGUCCUCAGCGUCAAAUGAGGUUGUCGGGAGGCCUUAAAUUGCAGAUGGAAAUUGUGUUGCAGGGAAGACGGUGUUUUAAUUCCGUAAGUAAUAGAUGUGA
Long non-coding RNA from Strigops habroptila (Kakapo), 1368 nucleotides. RefSeq lists it as uncharacterized. Lineage: Eukaryota; Metazoa; Chordata; Aves; Psittaciformes; Psittacidae. The transcript has 2 exons. The record is from RefSeq and is a predicted model, not a curated record.